Molecule: ribosomal RNA, 587 nt
Filed under: uncultured bacterium
Lineage: Bacteria
Description: bacterial SSU rRNA
Rfam family: Bacterial small subunit ribosomal RNA
Source: RNAcentral
CCUACGGGAGGCAGCAGUAGGGAAUCUUCCGCAAUGGACGAAAGUCUGACGGAGCAACGCCGCGUGAGCGAUGAAGGCCUUCGGGUCGUAAAGCUCUGUUGUCAGGGAAGAACAAGUAUCGGAGUAACUGCCGGUACCUUGACGGUACCUGACCAGAAAGCCACGGCUAACUACGUGCCAGCAGCCGCGGUAAUACGUAGGUGGCAAGCGUUGUCCGGAAUUAUUGGGCGUAAAGCGCGCGCAGGCGGUUCCUUAAGUCUGAUGUGAAAGCCCCCGGCUCAACCGGGGAGGGUCAUUGGAAACUGGGGAACUUGAGUGCAGAAGAGGAGAGCGGAAUUCCACGUGUAGCGGUGAAAUGCGUAGAGAUGUGGAGGAACACCAGUGGCGAAGGCGGCUCUCUGGUCUGUAACUGACGCUGAGGCGCGAAAGCGUGGGGAGCGAACAGGAUUAGAUACCCUGGUAGUCCACGCCGUAAACGAUGAGUGCUAAGUGUUAGAGGGUUUCCGCCCUUUAGUGCUGCAGCAAACGCAUUAAGCACUCCGCCUGGGGAGUACGGCCGCAAGGUUGAAACUCAAAGGAAUUGACGG